Molecule: unclassified non-coding RNA, 211 nt
Filed under: Hevea brasiliensis (rubber tree)
Lineage: Eukaryota; Viridiplantae; Streptophyta; Magnoliopsida; Malpighiales; Euphorbiaceae
Source: RNAcentral
AAGUUAAAAAAAGAUGAUAAACUGUAUGGGUUUAGUUUUUAGGGUGCUGAGUUUUUGUAUAAUCAAGUAAAGCCUUUAUUUUUUGCAACAUGCAAAGGGCAGAGGGCUGAGGACAGAGGCGAUAGGAUAGAAAUGCCGUGUUUGGUUGUUAAAUGAUUGUGAAUGGAUGAAACUAAAAUGUGUCAUCCAUUUUAUCUUUGCUUGUAUUGUU